GAAAUUUCUAAAUUGAAAAGAGAGAGAAACAACACGAGGGUAAAGGAGGAAUUACGAGUAGCAGUUGAAAGGUGCCAUUUAUUAGAAGAACAAUUAAUUGCCACACAGAGAGAGGUCAUGAUUCUUAAAAACCAG
Long non-coding RNA from Lemur catta (Ring-tailed lemur), 135 nucleotides. RefSeq lists it as uncharacterized. The transcript is spliced from 3 exons. Lineage: Eukaryota; Metazoa; Chordata; Mammalia; Primates; Lemuridae. The record is from RefSeq and is a predicted model, not a curated record.